UACGUAGGGGGCUAGCGUUGUCCGGAAUCAUUGGGCGUAAAGAGCGCGUAGGCGGCCAGGUAAGUCCGGUGUGAAAGUCACAGGCUCAACCUGUGAAUGCCGCUGGAAACUGUCUGGCUAGAGUCCGGAAGGGGCGAGUGGAAUUCCUGGUGUAGCGGUGAAAUGCGCAGAUAUCAGGAGGAACACCAAUGGCGAAGGCAGCUCGCUGGAACGGUACUGACGCUGUGGCGCGAAAGCGUGGGGAGCAAACAGG
RNAcentral lists this ribosomal RNA (253 nucleotides) under uncultured bacterium. RNAcentral describes it as "partial 16S ribosomal RNA". It matches the Rfam family "Bacterial small subunit ribosomal RNA", at positions 524 to 776 of the family's 1533-position model. The record is from RNAcentral.